RNAcentral lists this ribosomal RNA (498 nucleotides) under uncultured bacterium. RNAcentral's name for it is "partial 16S ribosomal RNA". It matches the Rfam family "Bacterial small subunit ribosomal RNA", at positions 28 to 507 of the family's 1533-position model. The record is from RNAcentral.
GACGAACGCUGGCGGCGUGCCUAAUACAUGCAAGUCGAACGAGAGCGACCGGUGCUUGCACUGGUCAAUCUAGUGGCGAACGGGUGAGUAACACGUGGGUAACCUGCUCAUCAGAGGGGGAUAACAUCCGGAAACGGAUGCUAAAACCGCAUAGGUCUUCGAGCCGCAUGGCUUGAAGAGGAAAAGAGGCGCAAGCUUCUGCUGAUGGAUGGACCCGCGGUGCAUUAGCUAGUUGGUGAGGUAACGGCUCACCAAGGCCGUGAUGCAUAGCCGACCUGAGAGGGUGAUCGGCCACAUUGGGACUGAGACACGGCCCAAACUCCUACGGGAGGCAGCAGUAGGGAAUCUUCCGCAAUGGACGCAAGUCUGACGGAGCAACGCCGCGUGAGUGAAGAAGGUUUUCGGAUCGUAAAACUCUGUUGUUAGGGAAGAACAAGUGCUAGAGUAACUGUUAGCGCCUUGACGGUAUCUAACCAGAAAGCCACGGCUAACUACGUG